Molecule: ribosomal RNA, 521 nt
Filed under: uncultured bacterium
Lineage: Bacteria
Description: bacterial SSU rRNA
Rfam family: Bacterial small subunit ribosomal RNA
Source: RNAcentral
GAUAAACGCUGGCGGCGUGCCUAAUACAUGCAAGUCGAGCGAACGGACAAGAAGUCUUCGGACAUUUUGAAAGUGAGCGGCGAACGGGUGAGUAACACGUAGGUAACCUGCCCUUGAGAUUGGGAUAACAGUUGGAAACGACUGCUAAUACCGAAUAGGAACGAGUGAGGCAUCUCAAUAGUUUAAAAGGCGCUUUCGGGCUUCACUCAAGGAUGGACCUGCGGCGCAUUAGCUAGUGGGUGGGGUAAUGGCCCACCAAGGCAACGAUGCGUAGCCGACCUGAGAGGGUGAUCGGCCACACUGGGACUGAGACACGGCCCAGACUCCUACGGGAGGCAGCAGUAGGGAAUUUUCCACAAUGGACGAAAGUCUGAUGGAGCAACGCCGCGUGUGCGAAGAAGGCCUUCGGGUUGUAAAGCACUGUUGUAAGGGAAGAAUAGGUGUGAUAGGAAAUGAUCAUACUGUGACGGUACCUUACCAGAAAGCCACGGCUAACUACGUGCCAGCCGCCGCCGUAACAC